UAACACCUGGAAACAAGAUGCUAAUACCGGAUAACAACAGAUGAUGCCUAUCAACUGUUUAAAAGAUGGUUCUGCUAUCACUCUUGGAUGGACCUGCGGUGCAUUAGCUAGUUGGUAGGGUAACGGCCUACCAAGGCGAUGAUGCAUAGCCGAGUUGAGAGACUGAUCGGCCACAUUGGGACUGAGACACGGCCCAAACUCCUACGGGAGGCAGCAG
This 217-nucleotide ribosomal RNA is filed under the name uncultured Lactobacillus sp. RNAcentral describes it as "partial 16S ribosomal RNA". It matches the Rfam family "Bacterial small subunit ribosomal RNA", at positions 144 to 354 of the family's 1533-position model. Lineage: Bacteria; Bacillati; Bacillota; Bacilli; Lactobacillales; Lactobacillaceae. The record is from RNAcentral.